ACACGUAUGAAAGACACGCUGAAAGACUUUUCUCAAUGAUGUAAGUGGUGGUGCAUGGUCGUUCUUAGUUCGUGGAUUGAUUUGUCUGGUCUAUUCCGAUAACGAGCGAGACCCCUCCGUUCCUAAUAGGGGCGGUAGCCCGGCUUGCCUGCUCACGCGGGCUCGCUAGCUGCCGCUUAAGAUGUACUUCUUAGACGUAUCAGAGCCGAUAAGGUUCUUGAAAUGGGUUAAUAACAGGUCAGUCAUGCCCUUAGAUGUUCUGGGCCGCACGCGCGUUACAAUGGCAUGCAAACACAGUGCCUAUAGGGCAUUUCCGGGGUCUUCGGGCCCCGGUAAUCCCUAGUCCCUGCCUUGACUGGGACAGACUAUUGCAAUUAUUGGUCUCAAACGAGGAAUUUUUAGUAGUCGUAGGUCAUUAACCUGCGACGA
Molecule: ribosomal RNA, 429 nt
Filed under: Diderma tigrinum
Lineage: Eukaryota; Evosea; Eumycetozoa; Physariida; Didymiaceae
Description: SSU rRNA
Rfam family: Eukaryotic small subunit ribosomal RNA
Source: RNAcentral